UCAGAUCAACAACCGGUAUAACCCACCUAUCUCGAUCGGAAAGAAAUUUUGAUCCGAACGAGUCUGAUCGUGGAACAGUAUUCCGAACGGAAUGUUUACAUGACGCAUUUUCCUUCCGAUCAGGUGUUCUUUCCCAUUACUUUUGCCCAUGUAAACGCAGCUAUCGUCAGGGUUUUAGUUUCUUUACUUUUGUUUUCUGGUUGUCUUUUGUUUAUUCAUGUUUUGAGUUUACUUCCCGUUUUAUUUUGUAGGGUUUCCUGUGUUGUGUCGUGUCUUCAAGUUUUACUUUUGCUCCCCAUCUGCCCUCAUUAUUUCCACCUGUGUCUCGUCAGUCCUGUAUGUAUUUAAGUCGUGUCUUUCCCUUCCUCCUGUGCCUUUCCAUAGUAUUAGGUUAAUGUUCCUCUGUUUCCAGUAUGUCAAAUAUUUCAAGUUUUUCCUGCUCAGCAGUGGAUUUUGGUUUUUGUUUAAUGUUAAGGUUCUGCCUCCUCCUCCUCUCUGCACCUGGGUGCUUCCCACAUUCCCCCAUGUGACAUUGAAUAAAAAUAUUGGACAUCAUACUCUGCAGAUCUCUCGCCUGCAGAUGUAUAGGACCAGAGGGCGCGCUGUGCCCAACGUAGAGAAACAAUCAAAUCAGCAUUUUCACGCUCCUCAAGGACGAGGUAAGUGACUUGCGUGUUAAUACUUGCUUCAUCAAAACUGGCCUUUGCUUUAGUUUUCUUUAUUCAAGCAUUUCCUAUUCUUAAUUUGUUUUCAUUGUUGUCCGAGCUGCCAUUCGCACACACAUUUUACACUGUUGUGCAAAAAAGGAAUGGUCGCUUCCACUUAGGCUUCAUUGUACUAGCAUGCAUUUUCCGACAUUGUGCGUCGUGCUUUUGUUUUUCUUCUUCAAAUUAAACGUUUUCAAUGUUCAAAUUUCUCAGACUAUGUUGCAGGUCCAUGUGCACGUAUGUGCAAGCAUGGUACAUAAACAUAUGUGCACGCACACGCACGCAUGCAUGUGCACAUGCAUGCAAGUACAUGCAUGCUUUUAAAGGCCUAGAUGAGGAUUUUGACAGAUAUUUAUAUUGCUUUGACAUUUCAGGGUGGAACUGCAUUUUGCAAACCAAUUGCAAAGAUUUUGCAAAGAUACUUGAAUUAAACACACUUUGAAGUCUUGCCAGCACCCUGUGUAACCACCAUGGAUGGCAACCCAGGUCACAAACUCAAACACCACAGCACAUCGCCAGCAGGCCGUUCUUGUGGCUUCAAAAGAGCCCCACAUGAAUCGGGAGAACAAGAAGGUCUUCCCUCCACCUCCACCAGAGCUGCUCCAUCAGUUCACCGCCCUGGACCAUGCAGAAAACCCGCUGCAAGAUGAAAGGAUCUCUUGCCUAUCGCAUCAGCAGUGUCUGGGAAGGCUGGUGUUGCCUUUUGGGCAUUUUAAAAACGCCCCUUUCCACUGGCUUGUAGCCAAUGAUAUUUGAUACCUGAAAUUCCUAGUUGACAAGCACAGAGCUGAGGUGAUUAACCCGACUCGAAAGGAGACAUAGGAAACCACCGGAUCAAAGACUACCUGGCAGAGUAUGCAGAGAGCUUCCCUCAAGUCUCCGUUCUCCUCGAGGCCAACAUAGGCAGGUGCAUCUAUGGCCAGAAAGGAUUUGAAGAUCACACCUUUCAGGAGAUGUGGGAACUCUACCAGCAGUAUGGAGCCCAAAAGGACAGGCCAGACAAAUUCAGCUCAAAGGAGAGGGAGAUGAUACAGAAAGCUAACAGCUCGGUGAGAAGAUGGUUAAACCCACCGCUGACCCACAUCACCAGCAUGCAGAUGAAAAGGUUCAGAAAAUACAUCACAGAAAAGGAACAACAACAGCUGAAAAUGGGCAAUCCACCUUCAAUGUCUGCUGCUGCUGAUGGCUGCAUGUCAGGCUGUGGAAGGCAAGAGACUAACCGAGUUAAUGAAAAAUAAGUACACGUCUUUCUUGAUCCCAAAAUUUUUACUUAUUAGAUUUAGUGACGUCUCAGGAGUCCGCAAGUGCAAGCAAAGGCAGUAGUCGGCCUACUGAGAUGGUUUAAAAAGAAUCCCAGCCCACAAAAAAGUCAAAGCAGAAGUCAGCCCGCCGGGUCAGGUCAUCCUCAUUUUCCCCCCGGAAAGAGAUGACUGCCUCAUCUGCAUCUCUAUCCCAGCCUCAGAUUUCCUCAUCUGCCCCCUUUCAUCCAAAGAGGACCUCCCCAUCUGCAUCCUCCCAACCUAGGGGUCAGUAAGAGGCCCAUGUUGUCUGAAUCUACUGCACAGCACUCAGCAUCUUUCCUUCAGACCAGUGCGUUGGCCUCCACAUUAUUCGCGUGGAAUUGCCUCAGAGGGACUCACCUGUAAGUUAGUAAAUAUGACUAAAUCUCUUACAUUUAAUUGAAAUUACAUACGUUCUGUAUAUAAUUUGCGAUGCAGGUGGAGUUAGAGGGUUGGGUGCGUCUGUGGGAAGACCCCAACGGCAUCCUGCCUGAUAAUAUUAACUGGCUGAAGGAGGACACAGAGAGAGGACUGUUCACAGACGUUCAGAUAUAUAAAGACACUUCUGGCCAUCUGAAGAGGAGCGGUUGAUGAAAUCAGACCAGAUGUGGUUUAACCCUACGGAGCCUCCUGGUUUCAUCAGCAGUUAUCUUCACACCUCUUUUUUUGCAGCCGUGUCUGGUGUCCUGUUUGGAGGUAAAGUGUCAUCUGGGUGUUACGUGUGACGGUGCAGGGAGAGAUGUGCACCUCUACAAGUCUGGCUACCAUAAUCAGGUACGACUCACCCUUUUUUCUUUUUUAGCAGAAGUGUUCAGGACAGAAGAUCUAAUACUAGUGUAUUUUAACAGCUUUCCAAUACAGCUUAAGUUUUGUUCCGUUUAGCUGGUAAAUAUAGCCUCAGAGAUGAACACAUCACACGUUCCUCAGCUUUGCUUCACCGUUUCUAAACUCUGCAGGUACGGCACAUAUGUGACGUGUCCAGCUGGUACACAAUGCUGACUGAGGUUUUGUGCUGUGGACAGUAUAUCCAAUACUAGUUUAUUUUAAAAGGAAGCUUCAUUGUCCUUUACUUUUAUUAUUGCAAAGUAAGUUCUACAAACGAGUCACUUCUUAAAGCUCUUUUUAAACAUUGUAAUUCUCAGUGCAACACAAUCGAUAAAGGAUGUCGUCCUGCUUUAGCUGCCCAUCAAAAAAACAGAACAUUUGUUUUUUAAUUCAAAUUGGAUUUCCAAUACAGCUUAAGUUUUGUUCCGUUUAGCUGGUAAAUAUAGCCUCAGAGAUGAACACAUCACACGUUGCUCAGCUUUGCUUUACUGUUUCUCAUCUCUGCAGGCAGGUGACGUGUCCAGCUGGUACACAAUGCUGACUGAGGUUUUGUGCUGUGGACAGAAAUAAAGAGGGUGGCACAGUGGGGCGCUGGCUUGCAUGGGAUCAUGCAAUUCUGUCCCAGCUCAGUGAGGCAAAUCAAGCCAUGUUUCCUGCUGUUUUCACCUGCAAGUGAGUGUUACCAGCAGCAUCCAGCUCCAAAGAUCCUGUACAUUGAUCGGGGGUGUUGUCCUGCACAAGGCCCAACAGCAGUGGAGACUUUGUUCAAGCCUUGGGUUGACCGUGGGAUGGUGGUUUCUCUUGACAUUGUCCACUGAAUCCAUGCAUCGACGCAGCCAUCUGGAUGGACAGCCACUCCAAAUGUGCUGCAUUCAAGUCAGCACUAGCUGGGGCUGUUCUGGCCUACAACAGAGACCACCUGGAUCUGCUAAUAAAGGAUGUCAGGGCUAAGGGGGAAGCCCUUAAGUCUUUAUCAGAUGAUUGACAAAACUGACCAAGCUCUGCCACUCUAGUGGACAAAGUAACUAACUACAUUUUUCAAUGAAAGACAGAAAUCCUCCAAGAAUCCAUCAUUUGAUCAAUAUUGGUAAAAGACGUCAAUUGGCUUUAUGUCUUCAAGAGCUUUGACAUUGUAAAGCUGUGUGUCACAAAGAUUGAUGCCAUCCUCACCGACUGUGUUCCUAAGAGAUUGUCAGCAGAAGCUGAGAUGAAUUGAAGCAGAAGAAAGAGAGAACCACGUUCACAAGGGAACAGAGUUUAACCAUUGGAAUCAAAAACACACCAUUCUAUAGCAGUGUUUUUCAACCUUUUCUGAGCCACGGCACACUUUAACCUUAAAAAAAAAAAUCCCGCGGCACA
Oryzias latipes (Japanese medaka) is the source of this 4171-nucleotide non-coding RNA. The record is from RefSeq and is a predicted model, not a curated record. Lineage: Eukaryota; Metazoa; Chordata; Actinopteri; Beloniformes; Adrianichthyidae.